Molecule: long non-coding RNA, 1005 nt
Filed under: Mus musculus (house mouse)
Lineage: Eukaryota; Metazoa; Chordata; Mammalia; Rodentia; Muridae
Description: RIKEN cDNA 2010110K18 gene
Source: RNAcentral
GAUUUAAAUUGAGCCCCGCUAACGUUGACUAUCUUCAAGAACUGCUUUUGGAUCAAGUAUUCGCUUCUCCUUGCUUCUUUCUCGCGUUAUUCCUCUUGAGUUUUGUUACCUUUCGGCUGGAAAUGGACCACUUGCCGCUGGUGUGGCAGUGGUUGGAGCAUGACCAUGUUGAUGAUGAGCUGUCACUGGCCCAUUCCAAGAGGUUUUCUGGAUAGAAAUUCCUUUUCAGGGAGAUUAGAGGGACGGAACCUUUUGACGUAUUCUUUAUGACAGGAGGGUUUCAUGCCUAUAAUCCCAGCACUUGGAAGACGGAGAUAAAAGGGUCGCCGUGAGUUUGAGGACAGCCUGCACUACAGAAAACUACUUCCCCAGAACGGAGGUGUGUGAAAUGUCUUUGUCCCCCUAGGAAGUGUGGGAGUCACCACUGAGCCUUGUCAGGCCAGGCACCACAUAUGCUUCCCUGUAGGUGGGAAGCUGAGACCGAUGAAGUGGUCCUGCAGCGGUGGCAGAAGCAGAUAGAUUAUGGCAAGUGCAUACCUGGGUACCAGAGCUUUCUGCAGCAGGUCCCCAGUUUGCAUACUUGAAGCUUCCUGCUUCCUCCCCGGCCCAGCUCAAAGAUGAAGUUCUCUAUCACUAAGUCUACCUGUUUCCCUAUCCCAGAUGAGGGGGCUUCAAAACACUUAGAGUAAACCCUUGACUUUUAGGGAUUUGCUGCUACAACUGUAAUAAUGAAAUGACUGGAAUUACCACUUUCUAUCCGACUAAAGAAAGGAAUCUGAAACUCUGCCCUACAGUGAUCUGAGCAUGAGAGCAUUUAUUGAAAAAAAUUUUUCCCAUCUGAGACCUCCAAUUUACAGAAGAGCCAGAAGCCUCUAUGGGCUUUCUUCCCUACUGACAUCAACACCCAGCCUAUUGAAAAAAAACUUAAAACUUUGGUUGAGGUGGGAGGUGGUGAUAAUGGUACAGACUUAAUAAAAAUGUGGUUUCCAGUUCCUGAAGAGGAAA